This 919-nucleotide ribosomal RNA is filed under the name Bjerkandera adusta. RNAcentral describes it as "LSU rRNA". It matches the Rfam family "Eukaryotic large subunit ribosomal RNA", at positions 34 to 938 of the family's 3401-position model. Lineage: Eukaryota; Fungi; Basidiomycota; Agaricomycetes; Polyporales; Phanerochaetaceae. The record is from RNAcentral.
CUAGCAUAUCAAUAAGCGGAGGAAAAGAAACUAACAAGGAUUCCCCUAGUAACUGCGAGUGAAGCGGGAAAAGCUCAAAUUUAAAAUCUGGCGGUCUUCGGCCGUCCGAGUUGUAAUCUGGAGAAGCGUUUUCCGCGCCGGACCGUGUACAAGUCUCUUGGAACAGAGCGUCAUAGAGGGUGAGAAUCCCGUCUUUGACACGGACUACCGGUGCUAUGUGAUGCGCUCUCGAUGAGUCGAGUUGUUUGGGAAUGCAGCUCAAAAUGGGUGGUAAAUUCCAUCUAAAGCUAAAUAUUGGCGAGAGACCGAUAGCGAACAAGUACCGUGAGGGAAAGAUGAAAAGCACUUUGGAAAGAGAGUUAAACAGUACGUGAAAUUGCUGAAAGGGAAACGAUUGAAGUCAGUCGCGUGUGCUAGAACUCAGCCUUGCUUUUGCUUGGUGCAUUUUCUAGUGUACGGGCCAGCAUCAGUUUUGGCCGCCGGAAAAAGGCCUUGGGAAUGUGGCACCUUCGGGUGUGUUAUAGCCCUUGGUUGUAUACGGUGGCUGGGACUGAGGAACAUAGCAUGCCUUUACGGCGGGGCUUCGGCCACCUUCAUGCUUUGGAUGCUGGCGUAAUGGCUUUAAACGACCCGUCUUGAAACACGGACCAAGGAGUCUAACAUGCCUGCGAGUGUUUGGGUGGAAAACCCGAGCGCGUAAUGAAAGUGAAAGUUGGGACUUCUGUCGUGGAAGGCACCGACGCCCGGACCAGACCUUCUGUGACGGAUCCGCGGUAGAGCAUGUAUGUUGGGACCCGAAAGAUGGUGAACUAUGCCUGAAUAGGGUGAAGCCAGAGGAAAAUUCUGGUGGAGGCUCGUAGCGAUUUCUGACGUGCAAAUCGAUCGUCAAAUUUGGGUAUAGGGGCGAAAGACUAAUCGA